This 274-nucleotide ribosomal RNA is filed under the name uncultured bacterium. Its description in RNAcentral is "partial 16S ribosomal RNA". It matches the Rfam family "Bacterial small subunit ribosomal RNA", at positions 523 to 796 of the family's 1533-position model. The record is from RNAcentral.
AUACGGAGGGUGCAAGCGUUAUCCGGAUUUAUUGGGUUUAAAGGGUGCGUAGGCGGCUCUUUAAGUCAGUGGUGAAAGCCUGGCGCUUAACGCCAGAAAUGCCAUUGAUACUGGAGAGCUUGAGUCAAGAAGAGGUAAGCAGAAUUCAUGGUGUAGCGGUGAAACGCUUAGAUACCAUGAGGAAUUCCAAUAGCGAAGGCAGCUUACUGGUCUUUGACUGAUGCUGAGGCACGAAAGCGUGGGGAGCGAACAGGAUUAGAAACCCCAGUAGUCC